This 31-nucleotide ribosomal RNA is filed under the name Gymnopilus imperialis. RNAcentral's name for it is "partial 18S ribosomal RNA". The record is from RNAcentral. Lineage: Eukaryota; Fungi; Basidiomycota; Agaricomycetes; Agaricales; Galerinaceae.
CUUCCGUAGGGAACCUGCGGAAGGAUCAUUA